AUGAACGCUAGCUACAGGCUUAACACAUGCAAGUCGCGGGGCAGCAUGGGGGUUGCUUGCAAUCCCCGAUGGCGACCGGCGCACGGGUGAGUAACGCGUAUCCAACCUGCCCUUCACCACGGGAUAACCCGGCGAAAGUCGGACUAAUACCGUAUGUUGUCCAUUGACGGCAUCCGAUUUGGACGAAAGGUUUGGCGGUGAAGGAUGGGGAUGCGUCCGAUUAGCUGGACGGCGGGGUGACGGCCCACCGUGGCGACGAUCGGUAGGGGUUCUGAGAGGAAGGUCCCCCACACUGGAACUGAGACACGGUCCAGACUCCUACGGGAGGCAGCAGUGAGGAAUAUUGGUCAAUGGGCGUAAGCCUGAACCAGCCAAGUAGCGUGCAGGAUGACGGCCCCAUGGGUUGUAAACUGCUUUUAUGCGGGGAUAAAGUGGCCCACGUGUGGGUUUUUGCAGGUACCGCAUGAAUAAGGACCGGCUAAUUCCGUG
RNAcentral lists this ribosomal RNA (489 nucleotides) under uncultured bacterium. Its description in RNAcentral is "partial 16S ribosomal RNA". It matches the Rfam family "Bacterial small subunit ribosomal RNA", at positions 29 to 507 of the family's 1533-position model. The record is from RNAcentral.